Neofelis nebulosa (Clouded leopard) is the source of this 1590-nucleotide long non-coding RNA. RefSeq lists it as uncharacterized. The record is from RefSeq and is a predicted model, not a curated record. The transcript has 4 exons. NCBI's taxonomy places the organism in Eukaryota, Metazoa, Chordata, Mammalia, Carnivora, Felidae.
GAUGUUACUAACGAGAAAAGGAAGAGACGGGAAUCGUUAGAAUCAAAUAAUGUGUGAAUUGCUACCUUUGUCUGCUAAGCACCAGAAGUUGUCAUUCCUACCAAGAAAAGAGGGGCAUUGAAUGAGUCUGUCGUUAUCUGCUGUUCAUGGGACCCUGCUAGCAGAUUUCAUCCAUGCACAACGUUUUGUUCUAAGACAACGGAAGAGGACUUUUAGCAGGAGACAGCACAAAAGGGCUUAAGCAUAGAAGGCAAACACAAUGACUAACGUGUGUCAGUGUCCAAGACUUAAGCUGGCUGCAAGAAAAUUCAGAAAAGUUUAAAGAAGAACCUUACCAAAGACACGGGCGUAUCACUUUUCACAGCAGCGUAUUACCUGUUAUCCCCCCAGGAAUCGCCUGGACUGCCCAGAAACAGCAGGGUCACCUGCUAACUCUGAGCGAUUCUGCAACCGCUUGCUUCAGUCUUCAGACCACAGCCAGGCCACCAGCGCAGCCACGCGGCCCUCCAGGGCGCAAAGGGGCACUCCCAAUCACCUUUGCACUCCCGUGCUCACGGUGGGAAAAGCUGCUGAUGUAACUAUUUCUGUAAUUGUUCAGAAAUGUAUAUGGUUUAAACCGCCCCACCUUUUAGGGGGUUGCAAGAGAAGACCUUUCAUCUUUUCUAAAGCCUUCCCUCUCUGUAUUUACAUACACUGUGAUUUUCCUCCGAACAGGUUCACUAAUUUUCAUUACGAAUUCCUAAGAAGCAAAUAAAUGCAAGUGUUCAUCCAAAAGAGCCUUGAUUUAGCACCUACCUGGUGGCAGACAAUAAGCCAGACGUCAGGGAUCUACAGAGACGGCAUCACAGUCCCCACCCUGGGGAAUUCCCAGGCCAGAGUGGGAAAUGAUUCUCCCUCCGGCUGCGAAUCAGUAAUAGGUACAAGUGUGCACGGGUGUGACAGGUUAAGGCUUCCGAGAGGGCCUUCCAGGAGGGGAUUUUUGUGAAGAAUCGAAGAUAACGAGGCAGAGAAAACAGGAGGGCAUCCAGGGAGAGAGAAUAGCACACGGCUUACCAGGACACGAACCACGAGUGACUGGCGUGGCUGGCGUGGCUGGGGAUGGCGGAGAGGCAGGCAGGGACCAGGUGGGAAGCUAGAGACUGUGCCUCAGGUAGAAGUGGUCUGUACUCCCUCCCUCUCUUACCGUUAGGAGACACAGCCUUUUAGCUUAAUAGUAAAAUAAAUACACACAUGUAUUGUCUCUCACUAUGUAACUUGUAGCCAGAUUCUCUUGAAACACUUAAACUAUAUUUAUUCCUGAUGUUGUAUAGACUAAGUGGUCAGUACUGUAGGACGUUCAUAUAUCUAAGUAAACUUGUUAACUAAAUGAGCCAGUCGGAACCUGUCAAAGAUACUCAGACUCCAAACCCAAAGCUGGAGUUCUAUUUUUCUAUAGAGGGGCGCCUGGGUGACUCAGUCGGUUGAGCGUCUGGCUUCGGCUCAGGUCAUGAUCUCGUGGUUUGUGAGUUCGAGCCCUGCAUCAGGCUGUCUGCUGACAGCUCGGAGUCUGCAGCCUGCUUCGGAUUCUGGGUGUCCCCCUCUCUCUGCCCC